This is a long non-coding RNA of Biomphalaria glabrata, 2180 nucleotides long. RefSeq lists it as uncharacterized. The record is from RefSeq and is a predicted model, not a curated record. NCBI's taxonomy places the organism in Eukaryota, Metazoa, Mollusca, Gastropoda, Planorbidae. The transcript has 3 exons.
UAAUAUGUGUAUAUAUAUAAUAGAACACUAAACACUAUUUAUGUAAAUGCCCAUUCUUAAGUUUGUAAAAUAAUAAUUUGUUUUUAUAAAAAUCUGGCUAUGCCUAUAGUACUCUUAACAAAAUUAUGACUAAAAAUAUUAUGAACGUCGAGUUGCUAGAUUCAUCAUCUUUGUGUGUCUGAUAAACCCAGAGAAUCAAGAUAUAGAAUCUAUAUAGGCCCCCUAUUAUAUAGAAUCUAGCUCUAGUCGACUCUAGACUAGAUCUAGUAUAAAUCAGAAGUCUAGAUGAUCAGCUUCAUCUUACCUUGAUCAUGGCAUGAUCAACAUGAUGAUUAAUCUGACUUGUUAACUUAAACUUCGACUUCGUCUUAUUACUUUUAGCCUUAGCCUUAGGCUUAGCUUCUUCAUAUGUGAAUUAUGAAUGGAAGUAUCGAAGUGCUUGGCUCACAGCGUCACAGAUCGUUCUUUAAACUAUUUGAAGAUCUACUUUAUCUUUACUAACGACUCUAUAUCUAGUUUAUAUCUAUAUUUUAUAUGAUAAUAAUAGACCAAGACUCUUAUAAUUAUAAGAUCUAGAAUCUGUAUCUAGAUUUAGAUCUAUUCCUAUACACUGAUUAUACACUACAGAUUUAAUGUUUCUGAUGAGCAAUACUAUUGUCUACAGCCAUUGCCCAUUAACAUAGGCCCUACUCAUGUACUAGAUCUAGCUCUUUUGAUCACAACUCAUAUCUUGCCUAGAUAUAAACAACUGUACUAGAUUGGACUAGACAUUCUAAUCGGUUCUAUUUUCUUUUUCAUUAUUCUCACACAUGGCAGUAGGUACCAAAUUGUGCUAUUUAUUCACUGUAGAUCUAGAUCUUAACUUUGCUCUUAACUACCAAAGAAGUACACAAAGGAUGUUGAAUGAUACCCAAAGGGUUCUAAUUGCUACCAUUCAAUGUGUGGAUUCAAGUAUUUACCCAGAUACUGCCACAAUAUGUUAUUAUUGUUUUCAAAGGAGUUUGCACACAGUGCCAGAAGCUGUAUGAAUACAUUUAACAAUGUAUAUUUCAAGAAGAAAUGAUGCUUUCUUAUUCCUAAGAGUUUUAUCAAUAGGAUGAAUGCCACAAAACUCACUUGUUAUGCCAGAAACUCUUCCUACGAAACUUCCAUACUAGAAUUUGUCCAGUGCCUGUGAUCCUCUGAGUUGAAGGAGAAUGUGCUUCAUAAUACGUACUAGUAGCUUGCUGAUAGCUGGAAGUUCAUGAAUACUAUGUUGUCCUUGAUUUGAUGAUUCUGAAAACUACCAUUUCUGAAGACUUGAGCAUUAUUUCUAUAAUUUAAAAAAUUAUUUUCAGGAAAUAUUGUGUUUAUAAUAUUAAGAAAGUGUAGAUAAUAUUGUUCUUACUAAUAUUAUUGUUAUUAUUAUUAUUAAAAUAGAAAGCACAUCAUUACAAUAUUCACUUGUCAAUAAAUGUUAGCCAUAUUCAAUUUUUAGUUACAUGUUCAGACUAUUAAAUUUUAUUAUUUAAAUUAUAGCAACUUUCUCUUUCAGUCAAGCUUAAGAUACAUUCCUGUAAAAAGUCUAUAAUAAUAAGUUAAUACUUCACAAAAAAAAGUGUUUGAAUGGUUUUCAUUUGUUUGUACAUCAAAUAUGUAUUAAUAUAAUUAUCAUUUUUAGAUGAAACAUUGAAUACUGAAGAUGACCAUUUCAAUUUCUGAUGUAGGCCUAUUCUCAUUUCAUAAAACAAACAAAAUAUUAUCUGAAAUUUCAUCCCUUCAUGGUAACUGUAACUGGCUUCAUAAAAAAUGGAGUGAUGACUGGGUUGACUAUACAUUUUGGUAUAAAUAAUGUACCAAUGAAUGUAGCUUAUACUGUUCUUUUCCUCAUCUUGAAGUGUGUGGACUGAUAAUUUGCUGUUGCAUUUUGUUUUCAUAAGUCAAUGACACAUGAUACUCUAAAUGACAAAUAUCUUCUACACAUUACAAUAGCACAUUUCCAUGCUGUUUGUCUAAGUGGAAGCAGAUAAAAUUUGUUCCUCUAUUAGCUGUAAAAUCUCAAAAUUCAUGAGCAGCUGAGAAAAAAAGAAAAGAAAUUCAAACUAGUUUAGACAUGUUAUAAAUAUAUAUAUUUGCUAAUAAAAAAUGUAAGACUACUUUAUGUUACAACAAUGGACAGCAUCUUUAAAGCUGAUAUUAAU